UGUAGUCUGCAACCCGACUACAUGAAGCUGGAAUCGCUAGUAAUCGCGAAUCAGAAUGUCGCGGUGAAUACGUUCCCGGGUCUUGUACACACCGCCCGUCACACCAUGGGAGUCGGAUAUGCCCGAAGCCGGCGACCUAACCGCAAGGAAGGAGCCGUCGAAGGUGGAGCCGAUGACUGGGGUGAAGUCGUAACAAGGUAGC
This 202-nucleotide ribosomal RNA is filed under the name uncultured bacterium. RNAcentral's name for it is "partial 16S ribosomal RNA". It matches the Rfam family "Bacterial small subunit ribosomal RNA", at positions 1299 to 1500 of the family's 1533-position model. The record is from RNAcentral.